AUAGCUCAAUAACACCUAAAUAACAGAGUCACAUAGGAGAAGAAAUCGAACCUGAAAUUGCAAAUUUCCUUUAUAAUAAUUAUAGAAGAAUCAACAAAUACACCUUUGGAUUGCAAAAUCCGAGCGAGGUUCAGCAGCAAAUCAGUAGGACAACAGUAGAAAAUCGAAGUCGACGAACUUGAACUUCACCACCAGUCGAAUGACCUCAAU
This 210-nucleotide long non-coding RNA is filed under the name Nicotiana benthamiana. RNAcentral describes it as "long non-coding RNA (NBEN_LNC005735)". Lineage: Eukaryota; Viridiplantae; Streptophyta; Magnoliopsida; Solanales; Solanaceae. The record is from RNAcentral.